This 492-nucleotide ribosomal RNA is filed under the name uncultured bacterium. RNAcentral's name for it is "partial 16S ribosomal RNA". It matches the Rfam family "Bacterial small subunit ribosomal RNA", at positions 29 to 507 of the family's 1533-position model. The record is from RNAcentral.
AGUGAACGCUGGCGGUAGGCCUAACACAUGCAAGUCGAACGGCAGCACAGUAAGAGCUUGCUCUUACGGGUGGCGGGUGGCGGACGGGUGAGGAAUACAUCGGAAUCUACUUUUUCGUGGGGGAUAACGUAGGGAAACUUACGCUAAUACCGCAUACGACCUACGGGUGCAAGCAGGGGACCUUCGGACCUUGCGCGAUUGGAUGAGCCGAUGUCGGAUUAGCUAGUUGGCGGGGUAAAGUCCCACCAAGGCGACGAUCCGUAGCUGGUCUGAGAGGAUGAUCACCCACACUGGAACUGAGACAGGGUCCAGACUCCUACGGGAGGCACCAGUGGGGAAUAUUGGACAAUGGGCGCAAGCCUGAUCCAGCGAUACCGCGUGGGUGAAGAAGGCCUUCGGGUUGUAAAGCCCUUUUGUUGGGAAAGAAAAGCAGCAGGUUAAUACGCCGCUGUUCUGACGGUACCCAAAGAAUAAGCACCGGCUAACUUCGUG